AUGUGGACUCUCAGAAUGAGCUGUACAAAUCCCUGGAGAAACGGCAGUAUCACUCCUCUGAGAGAGCAGAAGCCAGCAAGAAGGAAGAGGGUAAUGAAAAGGAGGCUGGGAACUUGCCUGCAACCUCAUGGCCCUGGUGGCUCAGAAGGGCUGAGCUAUUUGCAACAAUCUAUUGAGCUUCAAUCUGUAUUUACCCACUGCAUCUCCCAUGCUGGUACCGGAACAGUGGUUCCUAAACUUAAGCGUGCGUCAGGAUAGGCUGGGUGCUGUGACACAACACACAGAUUCCCAGAUCCCAUGACUGGAAUUUCUGAUUCUGAAGGCUGGGGUUGGGGAUGAAAAUUUGGAUUUUUCAUCAGGUUCUUGGGGGAGGCUGUUCCUGGUGGUCCGGACACUUUGAGAAGCGCUGUACUGGAAGGGUCAUCCUAAAGCAGAUGCUGAGUUUGUCCGUCACCUGAAGACUUGUGUGUUUACAGCAGAAAGCCCAGCCACUGAGCAGAGUCCAAAGACACUGUAGCUUUUCCAGAGACUUCCUUCUCCUGUUCACAUCUCUGGCUCAAGCACUUCCCCGUGUGCACCAAACACUACCCCAUGCUGCGUUCCUUCACACUUGCAGUCUUUGCAGAUUCAAGUCUCUCUCCGGAGAGAUUCUUCUAUUUCUAUACUGGGUCAACUCCCACUCAUCAGUCAAGAUUCUGCUGGAAUGUCACUUUCUCCACGAAACCGUCACAGGAUCCUUCAGAAAUAGCAUUUUUCUCUCUCUGCUUCUCUGUGCCUCUGAUUUGGAAUACAGCACAUUGCAUUUUUUUUAAAAAAAGAUUUCUUUGAUAUGGACCUUUGAAAAAGUUUUUACUGAAUUUGUUGCAACAUUGCUUCGUCUUUCUUUAAUGUUUUGGUUUUCUGGCCAAAAGGCAUGUGGGAACCCAUACCCCUUCUACUGGAAGCUGAAGUCCGAACCACUGGACCUUCAGGAAAGUCCCCCAGUGCAUUGCAUUUUGAUCCUCUGAAUAUCUCGAUUACCUGCAGAAUUCGCUAAUUCAUCAUCAGCAUUUCAAAUAAAGAUAAAUUAUAUUCUUUAUUGCUUAUUCUC
Molecule: long non-coding RNA, 1090 nt
Organism: Bos indicus x Bos taurus (hybrid cattle)
Lineage: Eukaryota; Metazoa; Chordata; Mammalia; Artiodactyla; Bovidae
Source: Ensembl